This 497-nucleotide ribosomal RNA is filed under the name uncultured bacterium. RNAcentral's name for it is "partial 16S ribosomal RNA". It matches the Rfam family "Bacterial small subunit ribosomal RNA", at positions 28 to 507 of the family's 1533-position model. The record is from RNAcentral.
GAUGAACGCUGGCGGCGUGCCUAAUACAUGCAAGUCGAACGAACAGACGAUGAGCUUGCUCCUCUCACGUUAGCGGCGCACGGGUGAGUAACACGUGUAUAACCUACCUAUAAUACGGGUAUAACUUCGGGAAACCGGAUCUAAUACCGUAGAAUAUAUUGAACCGCAUGGUUCAAUGGUGAAAUACGCUGUUGCUGUCACUUAUAGAUGUUUCCGCGCGGCAGUAGCUAGUUGGUAAGGUAACGGCUUACCAAGGCAACGAUGCUGAGCCGAACUGUGAGAGGGAUAGCCCACCCGGGAGGUUAGCCACGGACCAGGCUCCUACGGGAGGCAGCAGUCGCCAACCUUCGGCAGCGGGGGAGAGCAUGGCGCAACAACGCGAAGCGAGAGAUGAAAGCGCUCCGAGCGUAAAACUCUGUUAUUAGGGAAGAACAAAUGUCUCCGUAACUAUGCACGUCUUGACGGUAACUAAUCAGAAAGCACCGGCUAACUACGUG